GUAUAAUCCUGCCAGCCUGCCACCCAAUGCUGAAGAGAAGGACUUUAUCGAGGCUUAUGAAAACGUCAGGGAGAAAUAUAAAGACAGUUUUGUGGUCCCAGCUGGCAAAUUGUUUGGCCCAGUUGCUAAGGGCAACAGCAGUGUUUCUGACCACAGCCUGGGGCGAGCUGUAUUUACUGGACCAGCUUCUUAAGUGAGUCAUGUUGUCUAGGCAACCGAGGGACCGAACACGAAGUCUCCCCUGACCACACCCAGCCUGGGUUUGACCGCUUAGUGAUUAGUCAUCCAUUUUGUGGCUUUGAAAGGAGCGCCUGACACAACGCUUGACUGAUUAUACAACUGACUUUCUUGUCGUUCUUGCAUUUGUUCCCUUCUCUGCGUUUUCACUCUUUGUACCCUAUUUACUGAAUUAAACAAAACUGAAAAGUACUAAACGAGAA
Long non-coding RNA from Lepisosteus oculatus (spotted gar), 440 nucleotides. RefSeq lists it as uncharacterized. The record is from RefSeq and is a predicted model, not a curated record. NCBI's taxonomy places the organism in Eukaryota, Metazoa, Chordata, Actinopteri, Semionotiformes, Lepisosteidae.